AGAGUUUGAUUAUGGCUCAGGAUGAACGCUAGCGAUAGGCCUAACACAUGCAAGUCGAGGGGCAGCACAUGAAGUAGCAAUACAGAUGGUGGCGACCGGCGCACGGGUGAGUAACGCGUAUGCAACCUGCCUACAACAGGGGAAUAACCCGUUGAAAGACGGACUAAUACCCCAUAACACAGGGAUCCCGCAUGGGAAUAUUUGUUAAAGAUUUAUCGGUUGUAGAUGGGCAUGCGUUCCAUUAGCUUGUUGGUGAGGUAACGGCUCACCAAAGCAACGAUGGAUAGGGGAACUGAGAGGUUUAUCCCCCACACUGGUACUGAGACACGGACCAGACUCCUACGGGAGGCAGCAGUGAGGAAUAUUGGUCAAUGGACGCAAGUCUGAACCAGCCACGUCGCGUGAAGGAAGACGGCCCUACGGGUUGUAAACUUCUUUUGUAAGGGAAUAAAGUGUAGUACGUGUACUAUUUUGCAUGUACCUUACGAAUAAGGAUCGGCUAACUCCGUGCCAGCAGCCGCGGUAAUACGGAGGAUCCGAGCGUUAUCCGGAUUUAUUGGGUUUAAAGGGUGCGCAGGCGGGAGAUUAAGUCGGCGGUGAAAUUUUGCAGCUCAACUGUAAAAGUGCCUUCGAAACUGGUUUCCUUGAGUGUGGAUGAAGUAGGCGGAAUUUGUGGUGUAGCGGUGAAAUGCAUAGAUAUCACGAGGAACUCCGAUUGCGCAGGCAGCUUACUAAACCAUAACUGACGCUCAUGCACGAAGGCGUGGGGAUCAAACAGGAUUAGAUACCCUGGUAGUC
RNAcentral lists this ribosomal RNA (798 nucleotides) under uncultured Porphyromonadaceae bacterium. Its description in RNAcentral is "bacterial SSU rRNA". It matches the Rfam family "Bacterial small subunit ribosomal RNA", at positions 8 to 795 of the family's 1533-position model. The record is from RNAcentral. Lineage: Bacteria; Pseudomonadati; Bacteroidota; Bacteroidia; Bacteroidales; Porphyromonadaceae.